AACCGUGAUCGUUGCGCCGCGGCAGGCGGU
Molecule: small RNA, 30 nt
Filed under: Bombyx mori (domestic silkworm)
Lineage: Eukaryota; Metazoa; Arthropoda; Insecta; Lepidoptera; Bombycidae
Description: ovarian small RNA-10342
Source: RNAcentral